UUGGCAUUCCGAAGGGCCACACCCGUUUGAGUAUCAUGAACACCUCAACUCUCAUGGUCUGCCAUGAUGAGCUUGGACUUUGGGGGUCUUGCUGGCGUAACCGCCGGCUCCUCUCAAAUGAAUCAGCCUGCCAGUGUUUGGUGGCGUCACAGGUGUGAUAACUAUCUACGCUUGUGGUCUUCCAUCAGGUUACCUUCAGUAAUGGAGGUUCGCUGGAGCUCACAGACGUCUCUCCUCUGGGAGGACAGCUUUUUAAAAGUUUGAUCUCAAAUCAGGUAGGACUACCCGCUGAACUUAAGCAUAUCAAUAAGCGGAGG
RNAcentral lists this ribosomal RNA (317 nucleotides) under uncultured Tomentella. Its description in RNAcentral is "eukaryotic LSU rRNA". The stretch from base 262 to 317 matches the Rfam family "Eukaryotic large subunit ribosomal RNA", at positions 1 to 56 of the family's 3401-position model. The record is from RNAcentral. Lineage: Eukaryota; Fungi; Basidiomycota; Agaricomycetes; Thelephorales; Thelephoraceae.